UCUCACGGGAGGCAGCAGUGAGGAAUAUUGGUCAAUGGGCGGGAGCCUGAACCAGCCAAGCCGCGUGAGGGAAGAAGGUACAGCGUAUCGUAAACCUCUUUUGUCAGGGAACAAAGGCGGGGACUAGUCCCCGGAUGAGGGUACCUGAAGAAAAAGCAUCGGCUAACUCCGUGCCAGCAGCCGCGGUAAUACGGAGGAUGCGAGCGUUAUCCGGAUUUAUUGGGUUUAAAGGGUGCGCAGGCGGUCUGUUAAGUCAGCGGUCAAAGCCCGGGGCUCAACCCCGGCCCGCCGUUGAAACUGGCAGU
This 305-nucleotide ribosomal RNA is filed under the name uncultured bacterium. RNAcentral describes it as "bacterial SSU rRNA". It matches the Rfam family "Bacterial small subunit ribosomal RNA", at positions 337 to 640 of the family's 1533-position model. The record is from RNAcentral.